Molecule: long non-coding RNA, 1104 nt
Filed under: Mytilus galloprovincialis (Mediterranean mussel)
Lineage: Eukaryota; Metazoa; Mollusca; Bivalvia; Mytilida; Mytilidae
Source: RNAcentral
UUACUACAUUGGUUAGAGGUAUAGGGGGAGGGUUGAGAUCUCACAAACAUGUUUAACCCCGCCGCAUUGUUGCGCCUGUCCCAAGUCAGGAGCCUCUGCCUUGUUAGUCUUGUAUUAUUUUAAUUUUAGUUUCUUGUGUACAAUUUGGAAAUUAGUAUGGCGUUCAUUAUCACUGGACUAGUAUAUAUUUGUUUAGGGGCCAGCUGAAGGACGCCUCCGGGUGCGGGAAUUUCUCGCUACAUUGAAGACCUGUUGGUGACCCUCUGCUGUUGCUUUUUAUUUGGGCGGGUUGUUGUCUCUUUGACACAUUCCCCAUUUCCAUUCUCAAUUUUAUCAUGUAAUUAUUAACAUGACAACUUGUUCAAUUCAAAUAAGUCAUUAUUUUUUAUACCUUUCAAUUUCUUUAUGUUUCUUUUCCCCCUAAAUACCCUUGAAUUUAUAACAACUGAAAAUCAUUUAUAGCCCUGAUUAGCUAUAAUUUCCUUUUUUUUCCUUCAUAAUAUCCAUAUUUUCAUAAUGACCUUGUUUUGUCGUAAUGUUUUUCUUAAUGGCUCUUUUUAUACAUUAUAGCCCUAUUUAUUUAUAAUAGUCCUGUAUUAAUGCCCUGUCAGUCUGUAAUUGACCCAGUUUUGUUUUUAAAAAUAAAUGGGCAGUUUCAUAAAUAGAGCACUAAAUUGGUUAAUAGCUUAUUUUACGACACUUUCAAAAAUGUGUAAGGGUUCCUUGGAACCCAGUGUCUCCCCUAAUUUUGCUGUUCGUCGCAGGCUAAAAAAAGAGGAGAAAUCAUUAAAAAUGUUCCUUAAGGUACCAGUUCUUGAAUGUAAGAAAAUGAAGAAGCUCCUUUCCAAAUUUGGUAGAAAUCCAGGAUGGUUUAUGAAUGUAAUAAAUAUUCUAAAAAAUUUCAGUGCAGACUUUUACAAUGUUUGUAAUGUUAACUUGAAGAAAAAACUAUAAAUUCCAUUUAUCAUUGUUUAUAAGUAAUAUACAGAAAAACAAGAAAUUAACUAUACAACAUUUCCCUCUCGAUACAAGCUUUUGAUUAUGAACAAGCUUCUGUCCAAGUUUGGUACAAAUCAAGGAUAGUUUAAGAAAGUUAUUAAAAAU